CUGGUUUUAGCUCAGUUGGUAGGGCGGAAGACUGUAGUGUUCGCAAUCUUUAUCCUAGUUUGACUCUGACAAGCCGGA
Non-coding RNA from Jimgerdemannia flammicorona, 78 nucleotides. The record is from the annotation of a GenBank genome assembly. Lineage: Eukaryota; Fungi; Mucoromycota; Endogonomycetes; Endogonales; Endogonaceae.